This 562-nucleotide ribosomal RNA is filed under the name [Eubacterium] saphenum. Its description in RNAcentral is "bacterial SSU rRNA". It matches the Rfam family "Bacterial small subunit ribosomal RNA", at positions 383 to 966 of the family's 1533-position model. The record is from RNAcentral. Lineage: Bacteria; Bacillati; Bacillota; Clostridia; Peptostreptococcales; Anaerovoracaceae.
CUGAUGCAGCAACGCCGCGUGAGGUAUGAAGGCCUUUGGGUGUGUGAAGCCUCUGUCCUAGGGGAAGAAAAAAAUGACGGUACCCGAGGAGGAAGCCCCGGCUAACUACGUGCCAGCAGCCGCGGUAAUACGUAGGGGGCAAGCGUUAUCCGGAAUUAUUGGGCGUAAAGAGUGCGUAGGUGGUCUACUAAGCGCGAGGUGAAAGGCAAUGGCUCAACCAUUGUUAGCCUUGUGAACUGGCAGACUUGAGUGCAAGAGAGGAAAGCGGAAUUCCUAGUGUAGCGGUGAAAUGCGCAGAUAUUAGGAGGAACACCGGCGGCGAAGGCGGCUUUCUGGAUUGUAACUGACACUGAGGCACGAAAGCGUGGGUAGCAAACAGGAUUAGAUACCCUGGUAGUCCACGCCGUAAACGAUGAGCACUAGGUGUCGGGACAUGAGUCUCGGUGCCGCAGUUAACGCAAUAAGUGCUCCGCCUGGGGAGUACGCACGCAAGUGUAAAACUCAAAGGAACUGACGGGGACCGCACAAGCAGCGAGCAUGUGGUUAAUUCGAGCACGCGAGA